RNAcentral lists this transfer RNA (73 nucleotides) under bacterium. RNAcentral's name for it is "tRNA-Cys". It matches the Rfam family "tRNA". From Rfam's summary of the family: Transfer RNA (tRNA) molecules are approximately 80 nucleotides in length. The record is from RNAcentral.
GGCGAGGUCGCCGAGAUGGCUCAGGCGCAAGCUUGCAAAGCUUGAGACGAUGGUUCGACUCCAUCCCUCGCCU